Vicia faba (fava bean) is the source of this 306-nucleotide non-coding RNA. The record is from the annotation of a GenBank genome assembly. Lineage: Eukaryota; Viridiplantae; Streptophyta; Magnoliopsida; Fabales; Fabaceae.
AUGUCUACUAAACAUUUCAUAACCCUUCUAGCUCUAUCCUUUCUUCUUUCACUAAACUCCCUACACACCAUCAUGGCUGCAAGGACCAUUCCUAGUAGUGCUCCUAGCACUGUCACAAGGCCACUUUUUUCAUCUCAAGCUGAAAAUUAUUUGAAGCCUCAUUUGGAUCAUAAGCAAGGAUUCUUCCAAGGGAGACAAGUUAAGAAUUGUUUGCCAAAAGGGUAUAGGCAUAACUCAGCUCCAAGCAGAUUUGUUAACUAUGAUACAUUAGGUGGAUGUUCUGGAAUCCGUUCGGAGAAACCAUGA